GGGGUCAAAAUUAAUAAUUAAAUAAUUAAUAAAAGAAAUUUUAAUAUUAAAAAUAUAUAUAAUGGGGGUUAAAGUAUUUUUAAUAGAAAAAAUUUAAAAUUUUAUAGUAAAUUAGUAUUGUGAAAGAAAUUUGAAAUAAAUUGAAAUAGAAAAUUAUAAUAAAGUAAAUUUAAUUUAUUGUAUCUUGUGUAUCAGAGUUUAUUAAAAAUUUUUUAUAGUUUUAAAUUUCUCGAAUUUAAAAGAGUUAAUUAAUUAAUAAAUUUAUUGUUUCAUAAAUAUUUUAAAUAAUUAAUUAGAAAUGAAAUGUUAAUCGUUUUUAAAUAUAUCUAGUUUUUUUAGAAAAAAAUUUAAUUUUUUAUUAAAAUUAAAAAUUAAUUAAUUAUUUUAAUUAAUUUUUAAUUUUAAUUUAAUAAUUUAAGGGAUAAGCUUUAAAUUAAAUUUUUAUAAUUAAAAAUUAAUUAAUUUUAAAAUUUUUAUAAUUUAUAUUGUUAAUAAAUUUUAAUUUAUUAUAAAUAAUUUUAUUGAAAUUGAAAAUUUAAAAUAUAAAAUUUAAUUUUUUAUAAAAAAAUAUUUUUUAAUUUAUAAAAUUUAGUUAUAAUGAUAAAAUUAGUAUAUUUAUAAAUAAAUUUAUGAAAUAAUUAAAAUUUUAUUUAUAUGAUAAUUAUUUUAAAGGAAUUCGACAAAUUUUUAUAUUCACCUGUUUAUCAAAAACAUGUCUUUUUGAAAAUAUAAUUUAAAGUCUAAUCUGCCCACUGAUUUAUAAAUUGAAGGGCUGCAGUAUAUUGACUGUACAAAGGUAGCAUAAUCAUUAGUCUCUUAAUUGGUGACUUGUAUGAAAGAUUGGAUGAAAUAUAAAUUGUCUCUAUAAUAUAUAAUUGAAUUUAAUUUUUUAAUUAAAAAGUUAAAAUAAAUUAAAAAGACGAGAAGACCCUAUAGAGUUUGAUAUUAAUUUUUAUUUAAAUUAUAAUUAAUUUUUAAUAUUUUAAAUUAAAAUUAAUAUUUUAUUGGGGUGAUAGAAAAAUUUAAUUAACUUUUUUUAAUAAUUAACAUUAAUAAAUGAAUUAUUGAUCCAAUAUUAUUGAUUAUAAGAAAAAAUUACCUUAGGGAUAACAGCGUAAUUUUUUUUUUUAGUUCAAAUAAGAAGAAGAGUUUGCGACCUCGAUGUUGGAUUAAGAUAAAAUUUAAAUGCAAAAGUUUAAAAUUUUGAUCUGUUCGAUCAUUAAAAUCUUACAUGAUCUGAGUUCAAACCGGUGUGAGCCAGGUUGGUUUCUAUCUUUUAAAAUUUUUAAUAUUUUAGUACGAAAGGAUCAAAUAUUAUAAUUAAAUUAAUUUUUUUUGAAUAUUAUUAAGUUAUAAAAUAAAUUUAUA
RNAcentral lists this ribosomal RNA (1368 nucleotides) under Callambulyx tatarinovii. Its description in RNAcentral is "16S ribosomal RNA". Lineage: Eukaryota; Metazoa; Arthropoda; Insecta; Lepidoptera; Sphingidae. The record is from RNAcentral.